AUUGAACGCUGGCGGCAUGCUUUACACAUGCAAGUCGAACGGUAACAGGCCGCAAGCUGCUUACUAGUGGCGACGGGGUGCGUACUGCUUCGGAACGCGUCCAGUCGUGCGUGAUCACUACUCAAAAGAGUAGCAAAUACCGCAUACUACCUAAUGCUGACAACGGGGGACAGUAAGGCCUCGCCGGAUCUUACGCGCCGAUGUCGGCUUAGGUAGUUGGUGGGGUAAAGGCUCACCAAGCCCACGAUCUGCAGCUGGUCUGAGAGGACGACCAGCCACACUGGGACUGAGACACGGCCCAGACUCCUACGGGAGGCAGCAGUGGGGAAUUUUGGACAAUGGGCGCAAGCCUGAUCCAGCCAUGCCGCGUGGAGGAAGAAGGCCUUCGGGUUGUAAACUGCUUUUGUUCGGAAAGAAACGGCGCUGGUUAAUACCCGGGGGUAAUGACGGUACCGAAAGAAUAAGCACCGGCUAACUACGUG
This 482-nucleotide ribosomal RNA is filed under the name uncultured bacterium. RNAcentral describes it as "partial 16S ribosomal RNA". It matches the Rfam family "Bacterial small subunit ribosomal RNA", at positions 30 to 507 of the family's 1533-position model. The record is from RNAcentral.